Molecule: long non-coding RNA, 3291 nt
Filed under: Canis lupus familiaris (dog)
Lineage: Eukaryota; Metazoa; Chordata; Mammalia; Carnivora; Canidae
Description: lncRNA (ENSCAFG00000057849.1)
Source: RNAcentral
CCCAGAAGCUCCUUUGCAGCCAGCCUCCUGCACCACACGGCAUCCCCAGGCUGCCCUGACUCAGGAAACAAAGCAUUUUCCAUGGAGGAUAUGGAAACCUCCCUCUCCCAGUAACUGCUGGCAGGUACACCAGACCUGCCUGUUUGUAUUCAAAUGGUGUCUUCCCUGAGCAAGUUGUAUGGAAAUGAGAACCUCCAACACAGCCUGCUACCUUUAAAGCAGAAGACAAGGGGGCACUUCAGAAGCAUCCUCAUCCCAACAUGGGGCAAGCAAGAUGAUGUUAGGCUACCUCCUGGGACCAGACCUGGCCUGGCCAAGCAGCUGGAGGAAGGCAGUGAGCAGGCAAGAGAGACCCUUCAGCUCAUGUACCACCACCCCUGCUGCCUGGCUACCUGGAAAGAAUGUCUUCUGGCCAUUCAGGUGUUUCUUGGGAGAACCACUUGCCAGUAUCACCACGAUAAAGGUUUUUCUGCAAACUCUCCCACUCCUCAAUCAGUCCACCUGCUUGGAAUACUUCAGGCUUUUUCCUGCAGCCUGCAUUGGUCUGGAUAAACCUACCCCAGCCCUGCCAGGAGCCUUGCCCCGCUACUCUCAGAAGCCAGACAACUCUCUCAUCUGCUGACAUCAUUACAGAGUAAAACAACAAGAACAUAAUGAUCUCUUACACAUUUCCAGAAUGAAGUUUAAAUUAGUACCACCUCACAAACUGACUGGGAAAGGGCAGUGUUGAAAAUGGGGUUUCAUUUUUCCUGCUGCCAGGAUGCACACUGAAAGAAAGGCUUUCCUGGUUCCACCAGAACCCCAGAGCAGAACUUUGGUGUCCAUCAACGAUGCCGAGAUCCCUUCGUUCCCGCAGGUCACUGACCUUGUGAUCCUUUGGCGACCCCGCCAGUCGGACUGUGCAGAGUGCAGAGUCCUGGAGAAAGGGUGGCUUUGGGAGAGUGGUGUGCACUGGUAACGGAGACCCAGGAGUUCUUUCAAACUUUGAAGGAUGACUGUAGAGCUCUCCUGAAAGAAACGUGGUCAGGGAGGCAAGGGAGGUAGAUGACAUCCCUGGUUGGGCUGGAGAACACUGUAUUCUCAUUUCUCAUAUUUCAGGAGCAAUGGGUGGGGCUGGGGGGUGGGGGCAGGGUCGUCCAGCUAUGGUCCAUAUAGCAUGGAUCGUGGAGAAUAUCACCCACGUAAAGCUCGAGAAAAACAUUAACAGAGUGGUCUCAAAUUGUUUUCCCUUCUUCAAGAAAUCCAGUAAUGUCUGGAAAAAUGAGUCUUGUGUAUGUUUGGGUUUUCUGAGGAUUGAGGGCUCCACAGGACCACAGGAGCUGUGGACUCAUAAGAAAGAAGUGUGAGGAUUCAACGUUCAUCCCUCAAUGCUGGCUACUUUCCAUGUGUGACUUCUACCCAUCCCCAGAUGGAUUCCCAGCCCUGGAAGGUCGAUCCCAGCCCUGGAAGGUCGAUCCCUUGGGAUUGCAUCAGCCGUCUCUCUCAACCUCUGGUUUCUGGUUGAGUUUGCCCAAUGGGAGGCUUUGAAAAGAAACAGGGAGGGAGGAGGAGAGAGGCUGGGGUGUUUCUCCCCUGCUCUCACCUUCCUAAAGCACAUAUGUCCAGCAAUUGUGCAUCCCUUCGGAUCUGGGGAUGGUAAUGCUUUCUGCUACUGUUAGUUGUAUCAGUUAUCUAUUGCUGUGUAACAACCACCCCAAACUUAGUGAUUUAAACAGUCCUCAUUUACUUGCAGAUAAUUCUAUAGUUUGAGUUCAACUCGUCUGCAAAGUUCUUCUGCUGGUCAGAUCACGGCAGCUACGUGAAUGACUCCCUAAGUUACAAAUAAUUUAAGAAGUCUGAAUGGUAUACAACAUCACACACAAUAAAAUGGGCCUGACUUGUUUCUUUUUGUGUGAUAUAAUCGAUAACCACUUUGGAAUGCUAUGAAUAGGUAAGGCAUAAGUACAUAGAAUGUGUUAUACAUAUCCCUGUUUGUGCUGAUUGCCAUAGACAGCUAGGCAUCAGGCCUGGGGCCUGGAAUGCAUCCCUGGAAAUCAGACAUAGAGUAUAUUAUGCUGCCUUGCUCACAUUAUAGAACACAUACCAACUCAAGUGCCCCGUGUGAUGUGUGAAUGCCUUUUUUGGCAUUCCAACGGGGGUUGGCUUUGACUGUACACUGUGCUGAAGUCUUUCUCACUGGCUUGUUAUUGCAGGGCUGAUGGUGUUCAUGAAAGCAGACCUGUGGGCACAGGGGAGUUUCUGGGGCCCGGUUAGUAAAACAUCCUCCAGAGAGUACUCAUAACCUCUCUACUGAUCGAGGCUCUCAACAUCCAGAAUAAGGAAAACUCGAAAAACAUUUUGAUGAAGAGUAGCCUAUUUGUUUUGUGGAAGGUGCCUUCUGUUGCUGGAAGACAAACCUGUUCCACUCUCACACGUGGAGCACUACAGUAGCUUUUGGACCUGCAGCCCUGCUUCCUGCCUUGUGCCCUUCCAAUCCAUUCUCCAUCCAGAAAGCAGACUGAUGCUCUUAAAACACAAAUCAGAUCAUGUCUCCCCCCUGCCUCCAAAACUACCACAAAAUAUUCAGAAUCUCUCCCAAACUCCUUCCUAUCAUUGUGCCUACCUCUCUGAUUUCAUCUCCAGCCAUCUCAUUGUCACUCACCAGUCUCUGGACACACCUGCUUCUCAUUGCUUCAUAGAUGUACCAAAAUCACUCCCUGCUCAGGUGCUUUGUACUUGCCAUUCCUGUACUGCUGUUCCCCCAGAUGUCUGUACCGCUGGCUCCUUCUCAUCAGGUCUCCCCUUGAAUGUCACCUCCAAAGAGAAGCCCUCCAGUCUUGUUCUUUCACAUUGCUUAUUUUCACUUUAAUCACAGCACUUAACCACUAGCCAGUAAUAUCUUUCUGGUUAUUUAGUUGUGUACUUUCCUUCCCCCAUGAAAAGAUAAGCUCCAUGAGAGCAGCAGCACUAUCUGGGGUCACAGACAUGACCCACCAAUUCUGAGUCUGUCUCCAGGUGGCUUCUGAUCCAGAGUUCCAGCCACAGCACCAGUCUGCUUCUUGAACAAGUGUUGGCAUUUUCUCAGCAGCUUUAGAAAUCAGAUCUCAUUCCUAAACCCUGUGACUCAACCAACAGCAAGAGAGAGAGCUGGGUUGGGGACACAAGGGCACCCUCAGUCUUCAGGGAUAUAGCAACCCUCCAAGUAGUGGAACCAUGAAGGAAGGCUGAGGAUCAAGCCCGGGGGCUGAUCUGCUCACUGGAAGCUGACCCUCUCCCAGACCAUGCCAACUCUCAGCAUUUCACAAACUAGAC